This 700-nucleotide ribosomal RNA is filed under the name uncultured bacterium. Its description in RNAcentral is "bacterial SSU rRNA". It matches the Rfam family "Bacterial small subunit ribosomal RNA", at positions 47 to 706 of the family's 1533-position model. The record is from RNAcentral.
AGUCAAACAUGCAGUCGAGCNGACUUGCUUACAUAAUUUUCUUCGCUUAUGAUAUAUGAGAUCUUAUAUGGCCGACCGGUGAAUAGGUCAUGAGUACCCUGCUCUUUUGUGCGGAACACCUUCAUAACAUCUGAACUCAUAUGCCAUUACAGUAUAAAAUCACUUGAUUUUCGUCUGAAAUAUGGCCUAUGAUUCUGCUAUCACUCUUGGAUGGACCCGCGUCGGAUUAGCUAGUUGGAAAGGUAACGGCUUACCAAGGCAAUGAUGCAUAGCCGACUUGAGAGACUGAUCGGCCACAUUGGGACUGAGACACGGCCCAAACUCCUACGGGAGGCAGCAGUGGGGAAUCUUCCACAAUGGACGAAAGUCUGAUGGAGCAAUGCCGCGUGAGUGAAGAAGGCCUUCGGCUCGUAAAACUCUGUUCUUAUUGAAGAAAGAUGGAUAUGUUAAUUGUGCUUUCAUAUGACGGUAUAACUUGAAGAAUCCCCGGUUAAUUCCUUCCCACCACCCCCGUUAUUCCUUAGUGGGCGACCUUUUUCCGAUUUCUUUGGCCUUAAACGACUCCUAGGCGUUUUAUUAAUUUGAUGUUGAAACCUUAGGGCUCACCCCUCAAUCUGCCUCUGAAACUGUUGAACUUGAGUGAUGAAGAGGAGAAUGGAAUUCCAUGUGUAGCGGUGAAAUGCGUAGAUAUUAGGAGGAA